CCCUUAGAUGUUCUGGGCCGCACGCGCGCUACACUGAUUCAUGCAACAAGUUUUGUCCUUGGCUGAUAGGCCUGGGUAAUCUUUGAACGUGAAUCGUGAUGGGGAUAGAUGAUUGCAAUUAUUCAUCUUCAACGAGGAAUUCCUAGUAAACGCAAGUCAUCAGCUUGCAUUGAUUACGUCCCUGCCCUUUGUACACACCGCCCGUCGCACCUACCGAUUGAAUGGUCCGGUGAAAUCUUCGGAUCUGAGAGAUGUCUGAUUAAUUUCGGACGCCUUUUGGAAAAGUUGUUCAAACCUUACCAUUUAGAGGAAGGUGAAGUCGUAACA
Molecule: ribosomal RNA, 327 nt
Filed under: uncultured eukaryote
Lineage: Eukaryota
Description: partial 18S ribosomal RNA
Rfam family: Eukaryotic small subunit ribosomal RNA
Source: RNAcentral